RNAcentral lists this ribosomal RNA (384 nucleotides) under uncultured bacterium. RNAcentral's name for it is "bacterial SSU rRNA". It matches the Rfam family "Bacterial small subunit ribosomal RNA", at positions 30 to 416 of the family's 1533-position model. The record is from RNAcentral.
AUUGAACGCUGGCGGCAUGCCUUACACAUGCAAGUCGAACGGUAACAGGUCUUCGGAUGCUGACGAGUGGCGAACGGGUGAGUAAUACAUCGGAACGUGCCCGAUCGUGGGGGAUAACGCAGCGAAAGCUGUGCUAAUACCGCAUACGAUCUACGGAUGAACGCGGGGGAUCGCAAGACCUCGCGCGGACGGAGCGGCCGAUGGCAGAUUAGGUAGUUGGUGGGAUAAAAGCUUACCAAGCCGACGAUCUGUAGCUGGUCUGAGAGGACGACCAGCCACACUGGGACUGAGACACGGCCCAGACUCCUACGGGAGGCAGCAGUGGGGAAUUUUGGACAAUGGGCGCAAGCCUGAUCCAGCCAUUCCGCGUGAGUGAAGAAGGCC